CCUACGGGAGGCAGCAGUGGGGAAUUUUGGACAAUGGGCGAAAGCCUGAUCCAGCCAUUCCGCGUGAGUGAAGAAGGCCUUCGGGUUGUAAAGCUCUUUCGCAAGGAAAGAAAACUUAUCUCCUAAUACGGGGUGAGGAUGACGGUACCUUGAUAAGAAGCACCGGCUAACUACGUGCCAGCAGCCGCGGUAAUACGUAGGGUGCGAGCGUUAAUCGGAAUUACUGGGCGUAAAGCGUGCGCAGGCUGUUUUGUAAGUCAGAUGUGAAAUCCCUGGGCUCAACCUAGGAACUGCGUUUGAAACUACAAGGCUAGAGUGUAGCAGAGGGGGGUAGAAUUCCACGUGUAGCAGUGAAAUGCGUAGAGAUGUGGAGGAAUACCAAUGGCGAAGGCAGCCCCCUGGGUUAACACUGACGCUCAUGCACGAAAGCGUGGGGAGCAAACAGGAUUAGAUACCCUGGUAGUCCACGCCCUAAACGAUGUCUACUAGUUGUUGGGAGAGUAAAAUCUCUUAGUAACGCAGCUAACGCGUGAAGUAGACCGCCUGGGGAUACGGUCGCAAGAUUAAAACCUUAAAGGAAUUGACGGCUGAGAGNGCGAGACGACGACGAGGGAGAGG
Molecule: ribosomal RNA, 618 nt
Filed under: uncultured bacterium
Lineage: Bacteria
Description: bacterial SSU rRNA
Rfam family: Bacterial small subunit ribosomal RNA
Source: RNAcentral